Molecule: ribosomal RNA, 531 nt
Filed under: Wagneriana aff. pakitza voucher448
Lineage: Eukaryota; Metazoa; Arthropoda; Arachnida; Araneae; Araneidae
Description: partial large subunit ribosomal RNA
Rfam family: Eukaryotic large subunit ribosomal RNA
Source: RNAcentral
UCCGAAGGACCCCGCAACCGGUUCGGAAACGGCUUUAAGGGUCCGUAAUGGCAGUUGGCCGGUGGCUCUUUCUAAGGGUCGUCGGUUGUUAGCCGUCGGAUCUUGGCUCGUGGCCGGACCGUGGUGUCGCGAGGCCUUUAUAGGCUUCUUCGCCUCCUCCGUUCGCGGACGCCGGGAUCCCGUGGCAGGGGUUCGCACUUCUGCGGGCGCACGGACUGACUCCGUGGCCCAGCGGUCGCAUGCGUCCUCGUUGGCUGCGGUGAACCCGUCGGAGGUUGGCGGUUCGCGGGGAGUAGAUCGGUCACCCACCCGACCCGUCUUGAAACACGGACCAAGGAGUCUAACAUGUGUGCGAGUCAAUGGGUCUCGAUUAAGCCCAGAGGCGCAAUGAAAGCAAAGGCAGGACUCGACGCCUGCCGAGUUGGGAUCCUCCUUCCUUCGCGUCGGAGGCGCACCAACGACCCGUCCUGUCCCAUUUAUGGGUUGGGCGGAGUUUGAGCAUACACGUUGGGACCCGAAAGAUGGUGAACU